Molecule: long non-coding RNA, 695 nt
Filed under: Homo sapiens (human)
Lineage: Eukaryota; Metazoa; Chordata; Mammalia; Primates; Hominidae
Description: non-protein coding lnc-PAFAH1B1-2:2
Source: RNAcentral
AGGAGGCCGAGACCAAGGGGCUUGGCGGGGACGGAACGGUGAGGUCAGAGAAUGCUGCAGAGGGGACAUUGGGACCAGGUCUUGCAGUGAGUUGAAGUGCUCCAGGCAGAGAGCGCCGGUGGGUCUUUCCUGGCCAGGCCGCAGGGGGCCUUUGGGAAGCACCCGAGGCCUAUAACCUUCGGAGCGUUUGUCAAGCUCUAAUGAGAACUGGAAAGCUUCAGCUUCCCGAGGUGGGCUGGGAGGGCCUUAGGUAGGGCCUCGCACAAAUUGCGAAGGAAAGCCGACCUUGUUCUGGAGAGCACGUGGUGAGGAAAGCCAGCGACUUGAUGUGAGCAUUUAAACGGGAGGAAGGAAGAUGAGAACUGGUAAGAUUCUUCUCGGCCGGGCGGUGCAGCGGCUCACGCCUGUAAUCCUAGCACUUUGGGAGGCCGAAGCCAGGCGGAUGACUUGAGUUCAGGAUUCGGAAGUUUGAGACCAACCUGGGCAACAUUUCAAAACCCCCGUCUCUACAAAAAAUAUUGUUUAAAAAAAGCCAGGUGUAGUGGCACGCGCCUGUAGUCCCAGCUACUUGGGAGCUGAGCUGGGAGUAUCACUCAGGACGGCUCAGAUUGAGCCCAGGAGUUCCAAGCUGCAGUGAGCUAUGAUCGCACCACUGCACUCCUGCCUGGGUGACACAGACACCGUCUCAAAAAAAA